GGGGGGACCAUCCUCCAAGGCUAAAUACUCCUGACUGACCGAUAGUGAACCAGUACCGUGAGGGAAAGGCGAAAAGAACCCCGGCGAGGGGAGUGAAAAAGAACCUGAAACCGUGUACGUACAAGCAGUGGGAGCACAGGUUUACCUGUGUGACUGCGUACCUUUUGUAUAAUGGGUCAGCGACUUAUAUUCUGUAGCAAGGUUAACCGAAUAGGGGAGCCGGAGGGAAACCGAGUCUUAAUUGGGCGUUAAGUUGCAGGGUAUAGACCCGAAACCCGGUGAUCUAGCCAUGGGCAGGUUGAAGGUUGGGUAACACUAACUGGAGGACCGAACCGACUAAUGUUGAAAAAUUAGCGGAUGACCUGUGGCUGGGGGUGAAAGGCCAAUCAAACCGGGAGAUAGCUGGUUCUCCCCGAAAGCUAUUUAGGUAGCGCCUCGUGAAUUCAUCUCCGGGGGUAGAGCACUGUUUCGGCUAGGGGGCCAUCCCGGCUUACCAACCCGAUGCAAACUGCGAAUACCGGAGAAUGUUAUCACGGGAGACACACGGCGGGUGCUAACGUCCGUCGUGAAGAGGGAAACAACCCAGACCGCCAGCUAAGGUCCCAAAGUCAUGGUUAAGUGGGAAACGAUGUGGGAAGGCCCAGACAGCCAGGAUGUUGGCUUAGAAGCAGCCAUCAUUUAAAGAAAGCGUAAUAGCUCACUGGUCGAGUCGGCCUGCGCGGAAGAUGUAACGGGGCUAAACCAU
This 745-nucleotide ribosomal RNA is filed under the name Salmonella enterica. RNAcentral's name for it is "partial 23S ribosomal RNA". It matches the Rfam family "Bacterial large subunit ribosomal RNA", at positions 446 to 1190 of the family's 2925-position model. The record is from RNAcentral. Lineage: Bacteria; Pseudomonadati; Pseudomonadota; Gammaproteobacteria; Enterobacterales; Enterobacteriaceae. RNAcentral also lists the same sequence under 1 other name.